AGAGUUUGAUCCUGGCUCAGGACGAACGCUGGCGGCGUGCUUAAUACAUGCAAGUCGAACGCUCUCGACCUUCGGGUCACAUGAGAGAGUGGCGAACGGGUGCGUAACACGUGAGAAACCUGCCCCAAAGACGGGAAUAGCCCGAGGAAACUCGGAUUAAUACCCGAUACCUCCACAAUGUCGCAUGGCAUUGUGAAGAAAGUUCAGGCGCUUUGGGAGGGUCUCGCGGCCUAUCAGCUUGUUGGUGAGGUAACGGCUCACCAAGGCAUCGACGGGUAGCUGGUCUGAGAGGACGAUCAGCCACACUGGGACUGAGACACGGCCCAGACUCCUACGGGAGGCAGCAGUAGGGAAUCUUGCGCAAUGGGCGAAAGCCUGACGCAGCAACGCCGCGUGGGGGAUGAAUGCCUUCGGGUUGUAAACCCCUUUCAGCAGGGACGAAAAUGACGGUACCUGCAGAAGAAGCUCCGGCCAACUACGUGCCAGCAGCCGCGGUAAUACGUAGGGAGCGAGCGUUGUCCGGAAUUAUUGGGCGUAAAGAGCUCGUAGGCGGUUCAGUAAGUCGGGUGUGAAAACUCAAGGCUCAACCUUGAGACGCCACUCGAUACUGCUGUGACUUGAGUCCGGUAGAGGAGUGUGGAAUUCCUGGUGUANCGGUGAAAU
RNAcentral lists this ribosomal RNA (663 nucleotides) under uncultured Actinomycetes bacterium. Its description in RNAcentral is "bacterial SSU rRNA". It matches the Rfam family "Bacterial small subunit ribosomal RNA", at positions 8 to 687 of the family's 1533-position model. Lineage: Bacteria; Bacillati; Actinomycetota; Actinomycetes. The record is from RNAcentral.